This is a non-coding RNA of Helianthus annuus (common sunflower), 91 nucleotides long. Lineage: Eukaryota; Viridiplantae; Streptophyta; Magnoliopsida; Asterales; Asteraceae. The record is from Rfam.
GUGUCACUAAGGGAUCCUCCGAACACUUCACUAGGAUGGUUAAAUAAUUAGGAUUUCCUACUGAAGUGUUUGGGGGAACUCCAAGUGCCAC